ACGCUCGACACCUACGGGAGGCAGCAGUGGGGAAUAUUGCACAAUGGGGGAAACCCUGAUGCAGCGACGCCGCGUGAAGGAAGAAGUAUCUCGGUAUGUAAACUUCUAUCAGCAGGGAAGAAAAUGACGGUACCUGACUAAGAAGCCCCGGCUAACUACGUGUCAGCAGCCGCGGUAAUCUGAGCGGGCUGGCAAGGC
RNAcentral lists this ribosomal RNA (198 nucleotides) under uncultured bacterium. RNAcentral's name for it is "partial 16S ribosomal RNA". It matches the Rfam family "Bacterial small subunit ribosomal RNA", at positions 328 to 539 of the family's 1533-position model. The record is from RNAcentral.